This 253-nucleotide ribosomal RNA is filed under the name uncultured prokaryote. RNAcentral describes it as "partial 16S ribosomal RNA". It matches the Rfam family "Bacterial small subunit ribosomal RNA", at positions 524 to 776 of the family's 1533-position model. The record is from RNAcentral.
UACAGAGGGUGCGAGCGUUAAUCGGAAUUACUGGGCGUAAAGAGCGCGUAGGCGGUUUUAUAAGUCAGAUGUGAAAGACCCGGGCUUAACCUGGGAAUUGCAUUUGAUACUGUAAGACUAGAGUAUGGUAGAGGAAAGUGGAAUUUCCGGUGUAGCGGUGAAAUGCGUAGAUACCGGAAGGAACACCAGUGGCGAAGGCGACUUUCUGGACCAAUACUGACGCUGAGGCGCGAAAGCGUGGGGAGUAAACAGG